UACGGGGGGGGCAAGCGUUGUUCGGAAUUACUGGGCGUAAAGGGUAGGUAGGUGGUCUCGUUUGUCUGGGGUGAAAGCCUUGAGCUUAACUCAAGAAGUGCCCUAGAAACGGCGAGACUGGAGUCCUGGAGAGGGUCGUGGAAUUCCCGGUGUAGCGGUGAAAUGCGUAGAGAUCGGGAGGAACACCAGAGGCGAAGGCGGCGACCUGGACAGGUACUGACACUCAACUACGAAAGCGUGGGGAGCAAACAGG
This 253-nucleotide ribosomal RNA is filed under the name uncultured bacterium. Its description in RNAcentral is "partial 16S ribosomal RNA". It matches the Rfam family "Bacterial small subunit ribosomal RNA", at positions 524 to 776 of the family's 1533-position model. The record is from RNAcentral.